CCUACGGGUGGCAGCAGUGGGGAAUAUUGGACAAUGGGCGAAAGCCUGAUCCAGCCAUGCCGCGUGUGUGAAGAAGGCCUUCGGGUUGUAAAGCACUUUCAGUGGGGAAGAAAGCCUUGGGGCUAAUACCCUCGAGGAAGGACAUCACCCACAGAAGAAGCACCGGCUAACUCCGUGCCAGCAGCCGCGGUAAUACGGAGGGUGCGAGCGUUAAUCGGAAUUACUGGGCGUAAAGCGCGCGUAGGCGGUCUGAUAAGCCGGUUGUGAAAGCCCCGGGCUCAACCUGGGAACGGCAUCCGGAACUGUCAGGCUAGAGUGCAGGCGAGGAAGGUAGAAUUCCCGGUGUAGCGGUGAAAUGCGUAGAGAUCGGGAGGAAUACCAGUGGCGAAGGCGGCCUUCUGGACUGACACUGACGCUGAGGUGCGAAAGCGUGGGUAGCAAACAGGAUUAGAUACCCUUGUAGUC
This 465-nucleotide ribosomal RNA is filed under the name Vreelandella stevensii. RNAcentral describes it as "partial 16S ribosomal RNA". It matches the Rfam family "Bacterial small subunit ribosomal RNA", at positions 338 to 795 of the family's 1533-position model. The record is from RNAcentral. Lineage: Bacteria; Pseudomonadati; Pseudomonadota; Gammaproteobacteria; Oceanospirillales; Halomonadaceae.